CGGACCUAUUUAUUUUUUCAUCCCCGGACUCAUCCCUGGAUUCCCACCGCAAACGGAACAUUUCAGCUGGAUCUUCACAAGUAGCUAUCUAGCCAAAUCGCAACCCCGGAUGAUUACUCCUGGCUAGCGCUUCCACCCACUUAGCGUGAAGCUAGCCCGGCCAGCGCACCUGUACCACCACCGUAGCAUACUCCUGGGCUACAAUACCCGGGCCCACGACCGGUCUAUCGAUGUCACCGCAUGAAGAGGAAUAAACAGACUCACCCCAUCGCGACGUCCCCUAAAGGCCAACUCUCUAGCCCUCGCUAUCUCCCUGCUUGCUAAACUCGGCCUGCUAACUGCUAGCUUGUCUAGCCCGGGCCUACGAACUGUUAGCUUGUUAGCACAGGCCUGCUAACCGUCUGAAUCGCCGCGUCCCAAACACUCACCGGACCCAUAUUUACUUUCUAUCUCUUCUUGAUUUUUAAUCUGUUUAUACCUUUCCGGAAACCUGCCUCACCCAAUGUGAUACGGAAUCGCUAUUUUUUUUUUUUUUAAUUUUUAGAACACACUCAAGAACCUCCAGAAGCUAACCAGCUAACUAGCUACAAGCUAUUUAGUCAUUGUUAACUUUUUUUUUUUUUUUUUUUUUUCAACCUGGAUAACACUCGCCAGUCCAGCUUCCCUGCCCCAUCCACCGCUGCCCCCUGGACACUGAUCUCUUGGCUACAUAGCUGAUGCACUCUGGACUGUCCAUUAAUCACGGUACUCCAUUCUGCUUGUUUAUGUUUUAUCUGUCGGCCCCGUUGCCUAGUCAACGCCAUUUUACCUGCUGUUGUUGUGCUAGCUGAUUAGCUGUUGUCUCACCUACUGUUUAAGCUAGCUUUCCCAAUUCAACACCUGUGAUUACUGUAUGCCUCGCUGUAUGUCUCUCUCAAAUGUCAAUAUGCCUUGUAUACUGUUGCUCAGGUUAGUUAUCAUUGUUCUAGUUCACAAUGGAGCCCCUAGUUCUACUCUUCAUACCCCUGAUAACUCCUUUGUCCCACCUCCCACACAUGCGGUGACCUCACCCAUUACAACCAGCAUGUCCAGAGACACAACCUCUCUCAUCAUCACC
This is a long non-coding RNA of Oncorhynchus tshawytscha (Chinook salmon), 1096 nucleotides long. The record is from Ensembl. NCBI's taxonomy places the organism in Eukaryota, Metazoa, Chordata, Actinopteri, Salmoniformes, Salmonidae.